AGAGUCGGCCAAGCAAUCGCGGGCAAUAACUUCGGUUCAUUGUUCGAGGAAAGUCCGGGCUCCAUAGGGCAGGGUGCCAGGUAACGCCUGGGAGGCGCGAGCCUACGGCAAGUGCAGCAGAGAGUAGACCGCCUAAGUUUAUUUAUCUUCACCGAUAGAUAAACCGGUAAGGGUGAAAGGGUGCGGUAAGAGCGCACCGCGCUACUGGUAACAGUUAGUGGCAA
Molecule: RNase P RNA, 224 nt
Filed under: Pseudomonadales bacterium
Lineage: Bacteria; Pseudomonadati; Pseudomonadota; Gammaproteobacteria; Pseudomonadales
Description: partial RNase P RNA component class A
Rfam family: Bacterial RNase P class A
About the family: Ribonuclease P (RNase P) is a ubiquitous endoribonuclease, found in archaea, bacteria and eukarya as well as chloroplasts and mitochondria. Its best characterised activity is the generation of mature 5'-ends of tRNAs by cleaving the 5'-leader elements of precursor-tRNAs. Cellular RNase Ps are ribonucleoproteins.
Source: RNAcentral